GAUAGCUUGCUAUCAAUGCUGACGAGCGGCGGACGGGUGAGUAAUGCCUGGGAAUAUGCCCUGAUGUGGGGGAUAACUAUUGGAAACGAUAGCUAAUACCGCAUAAUCUCUUCGGAGCAAAGAGGGGGACCUUCGGGCCUCUCGCGUCAGGAUUAGCCCAGGUGGGAUUAGCUUGUUGGUGGGGUAAUGGCUCACCAAGGCAACGAUCCCUAGCUGGUCUGAGAGGAUGAUCAGCCACACUGGAACUGAGACACGGUCCAGACUCCUACGGGAGGCAGCAGUGGGGAAUAUUGCACAAUGGGGGAAACCCUGAUGCAGCCAUGCCGCGUGUAUGAAGAAGGCCUUCGGGUUGUAAAGUACUUUCAGUUGUGAGGAAGGCAUUAAAGUUAAUAGCUUCGCUGUUUGACGUUAGCAACAGAAGAAGCACCGGCUAACUCCGUGCCAGCAGCCGCGGUAAUACGGAGGGUGCGAGCGUUAAUCGGAAUUACUGGGCGUAAAGCGCAUGCAGGUGGUUUGUUAAGCAAGAUGUGAAAGCCCGGGGCUCAACCUCGGAACAGCAUUUUGAACUGGCAGACUAGAGUACUGUAGA
RNAcentral lists this ribosomal RNA (589 nucleotides) under bacterium 4873K4-B9. RNAcentral's name for it is "bacterial SSU rRNA". It matches the Rfam family "Bacterial small subunit ribosomal RNA", at positions 74 to 655 of the family's 1533-position model. The record is from RNAcentral.